GAGGAAUAUUGGUCAAUGGCCGAGAGGCUGAACCAGCCAAGUCGCGUGAAGGAAGAAGUAUCUAUGGUUUGUAAACUUCUUUUAUACGGGAAUAAAGUGAGUCACGUGUGGCUUUUUGUAUGUACCGUAUGAAUAAGCAUCGGCUAACUCCGUGCCAGCAGCCGCGGUAAUACGGAGGAUGCGAGCGUUAUCCGGAUUUAUUGGGUUUAAAGGGUGCGUAGGUGGUCUUUUAAGUCAGCGGUGAAAGUUUGUGGCUCAACCAUAAAAUUGCCAUUGAAACUGGGAGACUUGAGUAUGUUUGAGGUAGGCGGAAUGCGUGGUGUAGCGGUGAAAUGCAUAGAUAUCACGCAGAACUCCGAUUGCGAAGGCAGCUUGCCAAGCCAUAACUGACACUGAAGCACGAAAGCGUGGGUAUCAAAC
Molecule: ribosomal RNA, 420 nt
Filed under: uncultured bacterium
Lineage: Bacteria
Description: bacterial SSU rRNA
Rfam family: Bacterial small subunit ribosomal RNA
Source: RNAcentral